RNAcentral lists this long non-coding RNA (390 nucleotides) under Setaria viridis. RNAcentral describes it as "long non-coding RNA (SVIR_LNC002183)". Lineage: Eukaryota; Viridiplantae; Streptophyta; Magnoliopsida; Poales; Poaceae. The record is from RNAcentral.
GGGGAGUCAAGAUAGUCGCGUCAGAGGAGAAGCUAUACCAAUCCUGGUGCCGCAGCAAGGCGUAGUCGGGGAUAUUGCAGCUUCGAGUGCAGUUGCUGCGGACGCUGCUUUAGUCAGCUCCGGGGCCGAGUAGGUGUCUGGUGAGAGAGCCAGAGCUGCGCCUCACCUGUAAGAGUUGCCUAGGAUGAUCCAAUGCCGGACAAGUCCACCAGGGACGCUGGCAUGGACAUGCGAGAAGGAGAUGAUCCCGAUACCCUGGACUUUUCCAAGACUAACCUUGCUGGGGACAUGGCAGAGGACAAGAAAGAUCUUGCCAAGCUAGGGCAGUUAUCCUCCAGGAUUUCUACAUUGUUAUCCUCGCAAAAGCUGGCUUACAAGACUAGCUUGCGC